ACAGGCAGGGAUGGAUCAGGCCGGGUAAAACGGAUUCCCCCAACUGGACUUGCUCCGUACUCUGCACGAUCUGGCCAGUGGCCAGCGUUCGAUUGGGAGCCGGGAGUGUUUCGGGCGUAGCGCGCUCUUGCCUUAUUCCUCUAGAUCCCAGGCAAACAUGAGAGUGAAAGUUCCACACGGAGGCGGCGAUUGGCUGUUCUCGUUCACCACGUGACCAGGCCUCCGGAGCUGCGAUUGGCUGAGAGCUGAGAGAGGGCGGAAGCCAAGGUGGUGGUGCGCGGAGCUUCUUUGAGCCAAGAGGCAACCAGGCCUUUCAUUUCAUUGUUGCACGGUGUGCAUUUUGCACUCUCGUAUUACAGGUGAGGGUUUUCUGCAAACGUUGACGCGUGAAACCAUACAACGACUCGGUAACCUAGAAUGCUGAGCAGUCUUAGCGGUUUGCAUGAUUCCUCCUCGACGUCCCGUACCACUAACCCACCAGUGCUUAAAAAGCCUAGCCUCACUGUGGGCGCCCAAAGUGCCGUCAAGUCGGUGUCGAUUCUGAGCAACCACAUAGAGAGAGUCUCUCCAGGAUGAUCAACUUGGCUUUUAAGGUCUCCUGGUGCUGCAUUCAUGGCUGUCCUCAUCGAGUCCACCCACCUUGCUGCUGGUCGUCUUCUUCUUCUCUUAGAUAAAUAAUAUGUUUUAAUAGAUAAAAUAGAUAGCUAAGAAUGUAUUUUUCUCUAUUGUGAUUUUUAUCUGCUUUGUGAAUUUUAAGUGAUAUACUUUGUGUCCUGUUUUCAUUUGUACACUACCUAGAGAAUUCUAUAUUAGGCGGUAUCGGAAUUCAAUCAAUAGAGGGAAGAUGCCUCCGAAUCCCAGUUGCAGGGCAGCAGCCGCAGGAGGGAGGGCCUGCCCCUUCCAGCUCUUGCCUGUGGGCUUCCUCGAGGCCUCUGGUGGGCCACUGUGUGAAUCAGGAUGCUGGACUAGAUGGGCCUCCUCCUUGGGCCUGAUCCGGCAGCAGGGCUCUUCGGAUGUCCAUAAACUGCUUGCAGAGCUCCAUGGAAGUGCUUGCACUGGGCCCAGGACAGGCUCCGGAGAUCCCUCCACGCAAUCACAGCAUGCACCUGCAGUCGAACCCUCUGCAGACACAUUGCUCCUUCAGCUGCGUCAGACUUCUUCGUUGGGAGGUCUGGGGGCCAGUGGCUGUCCCCAUCAGCCCAAAGAGCGCUCCCCCUGGCGAAUUGCCUGUUGGGCCUGUGUGAUGCUUGGGUCAAAGCUAGGUUCUCUGUCAGAGGGAAUCCCAGAUGAUGCUGACUACAGCUCCCAGAAUCCCUAGCUGCAGUGGGCUUUGGCUGAGGAUGCUGGGAGUUGUGGUCAACAGCGUCUGGGAUUUUCCGUUAGAGGGGACCCUGCCUGACCCCAUGCAGUGUUACGCUUUGCCCAGCGCCUGGGCUCCUUUAAGGGGAACGGAGCCCUCUUAAGCCCCUGCAACCUCUUGGGAGUGCUGGGAAAGGCCCCUGCCAACUGAGCCAAGAGGCACCUUUUAAGAGUGGCGAUUCUCUUACAUUUCGCAGGGGGAGAGCAACUGGCCCUCUACGACCCCAGCACAGCAUCCCUCCAGUGGCUGUUGCUGGGGUCUGUCUUAUAUUCGCUUUUUAGAUUGUGAGCCCUUUCGGGACAGGGGACCCUCUUGAUUUAUUUAUACCUAUGUAAACCGCUUUGGGAACUUGGUAUAUAAAUAUUCAUCGUUGUAUAUAAAUCUCUGUCGUCA
This is a long non-coding RNA of Hemicordylus capensis (graceful crag lizard), 1753 nucleotides long. RefSeq lists it as uncharacterized. The record is from RefSeq and is a predicted model, not a curated record. Lineage: Eukaryota; Metazoa; Chordata; Lepidosauria; Squamata; Cordylidae. The transcript has 4 exons.